Molecule: ribosomal RNA, 425 nt
Filed under: uncultured cyanobacterium
Lineage: Bacteria; Bacillati; Cyanobacteriota
Description: bacterial SSU rRNA
Rfam family: Bacterial small subunit ribosomal RNA
Source: RNAcentral
UGGGGAAUUUUCCGCAAUGGGCGAAAGCCUGACGGAGCAACGCCGCGUGAGGGAUGAAGGCCUCUGGGCUGUAAACCUCUUUUCUCAAGGAAGAAGAUCUGACGGUACUUGAGGAAUAAGCCACGGCUAAUUCCGUGCCAGCAGCCGCGGUAAUACGGGAGUGGCAAGCGUUAUCCGGAAUUAUUGGGCGUAAAGCGUCCGCAGGCGGCUUGGUAAGUCUGUCGUUAAAGCGUGGAGCUUAACUCCAUUUAAGCGAUGGAAACUGCCAGGCUUGAGUGUGGUAGGGGCAGAGGGAAUUCCCGGUGUAGCGGUGAAAUGCGUAGAUAUCGGGAAGAACACCAGUGGCGAAGGCGCUCUGCUGGGCCAUAACUGACGCUCAUGGACGAAAGCCAGGGGAGCGAAAGGGAUUAGAUACCCCUGUAGUC